CUCGGGGGGAAGGUCCCUCAACCCAGAUUGCUAGAGGGUGCAGGCUAGGUCGAAGGAUCCCACCAGUGCACG
Myotis lucifugus (little brown bat) is the source of this 72-nucleotide non-coding RNA. Lineage: Eukaryota; Metazoa; Chordata; Mammalia; Chiroptera; Vespertilionidae. The record is from Rfam.